Eurytemora carolleeae is the source of this 3148-nucleotide RNA transcript. RefSeq lists it as uncharacterized. The transcript has 7 exons. The record is from RefSeq and is a predicted model, not a curated record. NCBI's taxonomy places the organism in Eukaryota, Metazoa, Arthropoda, Copepoda, Calanoida, Temoridae.
CAUUAUUUUUUUUUUCCUAGGUUAUUACUAAGCUUUCAUCAAGCAUGAAUGAAAACAAAAAGAAAAGUAGUGAAAUAAAAGAAUCAGUUGCAACUCUAAAGAAAGGAAGGAAAACAAAAGGAAUGGUUGUUAAUAUAAAGAAAGGAGGCAAAACAAAACGCUCAGUUGCCAUUCUUGAUAAAGGAUUUGCCACCAAAAACAAAAAUGAAAAUACUGCAGGUGUCGGUAAAAAAAGAAAGCAUGAUGGAGUUCUAGUAAAAAAGUAUAAAUCUUAUCAGAGCUGUUCCUCAUUGGACCAGGUCCAAACUAAAAAUAUUCCCAGUCUUCUUGAUAUUCCGACAGACAUGUCUAUGCAUCGUUUCCUUCGUAAACCUGGUUUCCCUUAUCAACCUUUAUCACCUUCAAGUCGACUUAAUCAGACUAGUGUCUGGGAAGGAUUUGCAGACUGGGAUCAGAGGGAUAAAACUAACUACUAUUGGACAGAUGAAAGGAGAUAUUUCAGGGCAGAGGAAGACUGCCAAGGAUUUGCAGACUGGGAUCAGAGGGAUAAAUCUGACUACCAUGGGACAGAUGAAAAGAGAUAUUUCAGGGCAGAGGAAGACUGCCAACGUUAUGAUGAUAGACAAGAACAAAACAGGUUUAUGGGGUAUAAUAGAGUUGAAGAGUCAGGUUGGAGGGAAGGGAAGGAGAUGCAUAGUGUUAGAGAUGAAUUGGUUCUAACAACAGCAAGAUGGGUUAGUGAGAAGAGGGCAAUGGAACCCUCAAAGGGGUUUUGGGAGAGGAGGAAAGUGGAGCCCUCAAAAGGUUCAGUUGAAUUGAUUGAAGUGAUGCCAUCAAGAGAGUUUGGGGAGAGGAGGGCAAUGGAGCCAUCUAAAGAACUUUGGGAGAGUAGGGCAUUAGAGCCUUUAAGAGAAUUUGGAGAGAGGAGAGCAGUAGAGCUCCCCAGGGGAUUCAAGAGGGAAAGAAGGGAAGUAGAGACCCUAAGAGAGUACAAGGAGAGAAGGACAGUGGAGCCCUCAAGAGGCUGCGAGUCUCUGAAAUCACCACAGAACAACUACACUAAACAUUGGGCAGAGCCAGAUUCAAGUGUAAAUGGUUGCAAAAAAAUUGAAUACUCAAAUAGAAAGAUUGCUUCUAAUGACAAGAGAAUUGAGCCAAUUAGAGGUUUUGACAAGGGUUUCAUUGAAAAUGCCAAGUAUGCUGGGGAAGAAGUAUUUGCAGCUGAUAGGAAUGUAUUUAUUGAUAAUGGGACUUCUAGAGAUCUUGGAAAAACAUCUUGUAAUCCCAAAAGAUAUGAUGUGGAUGGUUUUAAAAGCUAUGGUGUUAAGUCACCUGAUAAAAGAAGUAAUGAACCAAGUAAAGAGAUUGGAAAUCAGUUUCUGAAGCCUAGCACGAAACCAUUUUAUGGAAUUGAGAAAAUGAACCCUUGCUAUGAAGGAUCUGACCCUAAAAGACAACAAAUUAAUAGUAAAGAAGUAAAGUUUGACAGACCUGGCAUGGUUGAGCCUUUGAAGAAAGAUAGCUAUUUCAAUUAUGUUGGCAUGGAACCAAUCAGAAAUACUGGGCCUGAUCCUUUCAUAAGCGAGCAAACAGAAUUGGAAAAAAGAAAUUGUAUCAAACCAAUAGGAGUGGAGCAGAAAAGGUUUCUAGAUAGUAGUGAAAAUUCUGGAGCUGAAUUCAACAAUCAGUAUCAUAUGAAACCUAGUCAACUUGAAAGAAUAGCAAAAGUUAUUAACAAAUCAGAACAUGUGAACCCAUCAAAAGUAAAUGAUGACCAGUCCAGUAACAUUUUGGGAGGUGUUUUUUCUUCUAAAAUACAAAGUAGUGUUGAAUCCACCAACAUGCUAGGUCAAGCAAAAGUUUCUCAAACUGCAGAUGCUUUUUGGCCCAGUCACAAUUUCAAUGCUGUUCCAUUUAAUAACACUGCUAUCAGUGCACCAGAUGGGUUCACUAACACUAAGUGGGGUGCUGGGUCCACUCACACUAGUGGCAUUGAUGGGACCAUCUACAAUGUGGAUGCUGUUAAAUCUACUUACAAUCCUGGCAGUGUUGGGUCUUCUUAUACAAUGACUGGUGUAGGGUCCACUGACACUAAGUUGGGUGUUGGGUAUACUCACACUACUAGCAGUGAUGGGUACACUUACAAUGUGGAUGCUGUUAAAUCUACUUACGAUUCUGGCAGUGUUGGGUCUUCUUAUACAAUGACUGGUGUUGGGUCCACUGACACUAAAAGGGUCAUUGGGUCUACUUCAACACAAGGCAGUCAGUCCUUAAACAUAACAGCUGGAGAAGAUGCAGAUGCAGAAAUGGCCCGUGUUGAACUUGAGAUCAAGCAUUAUGAGAAGGAACUCAAACUUCUACGACAUCAAAGAUUAGCAAAAGAGUUGGAAGAAGAACGCAAACUUGCCAUGAACAAUCAACAAAAUCAGCAAUGGAAAAAUGAGCAAACAAUAGUGGAAGAGCAUAAUUCAAGAAUACCUCAAGUUCCGCUGAAUGAGUUCUGGUAGAUUACAGAAGAGUUCUAUUUUCGGACACGGAACAUGACAGGGAUAAUUGCCUUGACCCUGGUAGAGACUCCUGGACAAGUGUGGGACCUGCCUGUUCCUAGAGGACAUGAUUCUUUCCCUGAUGUAGUCCGUUUUAAUAACUAUCAUCAAGAUCCCUGGGAGAGAUUCUAGUUUACAUGAAAGCUGGAAUGGUGGUCACCUUCCAAUCAAAAUUUCCUUGAAUCCUUUUUGCAAUAAAUUUUAAUUUUUGGUUAAAUGCUAUUUGGAAAACGUCUUUAAAAAAGUAUAGAUCAUCUUCAUUUGUAAUUAAAGGGACUGUAGAUGUAAUUUUAUUAGAUCCAUGGUAUGCCGGGUUUACAAUGCCAGUUUUUAAAUGUUUCUUUAACCAAGUCCUUGUUUUUCAUACUGAAACAUUAUUAUUUUCUGUUAUGGUUUUUAUAUAAUUGCAACUUGCGGAUUUAUGUAAGAGAGUAAAUUAAGGAAAUUGAACACUUUUGAUUGUAGAGAAGAGAUGUCAUCUUUCUCAUGGUUACUCAAAAAAAAAAUAUAAGGAUACGGUUGUGAAUCGGACAUGGCCUGUUUAAAUUGUGAGUCUUGAAAUUACGUCUAAGGUCACUUUUAAGCCAAUCCAAAUGUGAUAU